RNAcentral lists this ribosomal RNA (274 nucleotides) under uncultured bacterium. RNAcentral describes it as "partial 16S ribosomal RNA". It matches the Rfam family "Bacterial small subunit ribosomal RNA", at positions 523 to 796 of the family's 1533-position model. The record is from RNAcentral.
AUACGAAAGGUGCAAGCGUUGUUCGGAUUUACCGGGCGUAAAGAGAGUGUAGGUUGUUUAUUAAGUCGGAUGUGAAAUCCCGGGGCUCAACCUCGGAACUGCAUUCGAUACUGAUAGGCUAGAGUUUGGGAGGGGUAAGCGGAAUUCCGUGUGUAGCAGUGAAAUGCGUAGAUAUACGGAGGAACACCUGAGGCGAAGGCGGCUUACUGGACCAAUACUGACACUGAGACUCGAAAGCGUGGGUAGCAAACAGGAUUAGAUACCCUUGUAGUCC